CACGUAGGGGGCAAGCGUUGUCCGGAUUCAUUGGGCGUAAAGAGCUCGUAGGCGGCUCAGUAAGUCGGGUGUGAAACCCUCAGGCUCAACCUGGGGACGCCACUCGAUACUGCUGUGGCUAGAGUCCAGUAGGGGAGUGUGGAAUUCCCGGUGUAGCGGUGAAAUGCGCAGAUAUCGGGAGGAACACCAGCGGCGAAGGCGGCACUCUGGGCUGGUACUGACGCUGAGGAGCGAAAGCGUGGGUAGCAAACAGG
This 254-nucleotide ribosomal RNA is filed under the name uncultured bacterium. RNAcentral describes it as "partial 16S ribosomal RNA". It matches the Rfam family "Bacterial small subunit ribosomal RNA", at positions 524 to 776 of the family's 1533-position model. RNAcentral also lists the same sequence under 1 other name. The record is from RNAcentral.